AGCUCCAAUAGCGUAUAUUAAAGUUGUUGCAGUUAAAAAGCUCGUAGUUGGAUUUGUGGUGUAUUUCGGCGGCCCAUCACUUAGUGCUGGAGCUUGCUGAAAUCGCCAUCCUUGGGUGGAUCCUGUGUGGCAUUAAGUUGUCGUGCAGGGGAUGCCCAUCGUUUACUGUGAAAAAAUUAGAGUGUUCAAAGCAGGCUUAUGCCGUUGAAUAUGUUAGCAUGGAAUAAUAAGAUAGGACCUUGGUACUAUUUUGUUGGUUUGCGCACCAAGGUAAUGAUUAAUAGGGACAGUUGGGGGUAUUCGUAUUUCAUUGUCAGAGGUGAAAUUCUUGGAUUUUUGAAAGACGAACUACUGCGAAAGCAUUUACCAAGGAUGUUUUCA
This 381-nucleotide ribosomal RNA is filed under the name uncultured eukaryote. Its description in RNAcentral is "SSU rRNA". It matches the Rfam family "Eukaryotic small subunit ribosomal RNA", at positions 587 to 972 of the family's 1831-position model. The record is from RNAcentral.